This 379-nucleotide unclassified non-coding RNA is filed under the name Hevea brasiliensis (rubber tree). The record is from RNAcentral. Lineage: Eukaryota; Viridiplantae; Streptophyta; Magnoliopsida; Malpighiales; Euphorbiaceae.
GACAGAGAACACAUACACAGAGGACAGGGAUAGCACACCCCUUCAUAUAAUAGAAAAUAACUCCAUUGAAAGCUUAAACAUCAUUAUAUGAAGGAAGUUAUGACAGAACAAAACUUCCUUCAUAUGAUAGAAAAUAACUAACCCCAUCUGAAUAAAUAGCGCCCAAUAUUUUAUUGACAGGAUGAUUAUCAUGGGCAACAUACAAAGAUUUCAAUCUGGAAACAUCUUGCUAGGCAUGAAUAGAAGGUUCUGUACAAGCACCUUAGAAGUGAGAGACAUUUUCUUAGAUAAUUACCUUUAAACCAAGAACACCUGCACUUAGGAGAGCGUCCAGAGAACUUGCAUUGAAAGCAUUUUCAGGAACUAGGCCUCCCCAGAA